Molecule: long non-coding RNA, 836 nt
Organism: Balaenoptera ricei (Rice's whale)
Lineage: Eukaryota; Metazoa; Chordata; Mammalia; Artiodactyla; Balaenopteridae
Exons: 3
Source: RefSeq, a predicted model, not a curated record
UCUUAGCUCCCAGGAACAUUGUGUUUCCAUUAGGGAUUCUUAAGAGGCCAGAAUGAGCCUCCUCUAAUAAUGAAAUUCUGGUCCCUGACUUGAGGUGAAGGUGUAGUUUUGGGUGAUGUCUUUCAGUACAACACUCAUCAACCAUUUGGAGAAAACCAACAUUCCGAAAGGAAACCCAGCUGUGCCAAAGAUUUAGAAUUGGAACAAGCAGCAAAACAUGUUUGAGAAUGGAUUUUAAAGCACUGACAAUGAAGCUCUGAGGAAAAACGGAACUAGAUAUUAAAACUCCUUCUCAGGACCAUGCUGCUACAAUGACCAGUGAAGUGAAGUUGACUGGUGGCUGGACAUGCUUUUGUUCAUCUCUUCAGCAAUCUUGGCGCACAGAUCUGAGCUACAUGCAACAAUGGCAUGACUUGGGAGCAACUGAGAAUUUUCAGAAGACAGAUCCCAAAAAAUAUCGCUAUGAUUUAUGACAAAGAGUGUUCUGCCUAGGACUUCCCUGGUGGCACAGUGGUUAAGAAUCCACCUGCCAGUGCAGGGGACAUGGGUUCAAUCCCUGAUCCAGGAAGAUCCUACAUGCCUUGGAGCAACUAAGCCCACGCGCCACAACUACUGAGCCUGUACUCUAGAGACCGUGUGCCACAACUACUAAGCCCGUGUGCCACAACUACUGAAGCCUGCGCCCCUAGAGCCUGUGCUCUGCAACAAGAGAAGCCACUGCAAUAUGAAGCUCACGCACCGCAAUGAAGAGUAGCCCCCGCUCACCGCAACUAGAGAAAGCCCACACGCAGCAAUGAAGACCUAACGCAGCUAAAAAUAAAUAAAUAAAUAAUAAA